This is a long non-coding RNA of Ceratitis capitata (Mediterranean fruit fly), 1272 nucleotides long. RefSeq lists it as uncharacterized. Lineage: Eukaryota; Metazoa; Arthropoda; Insecta; Diptera; Tephritidae. The transcript is spliced from 4 exons. The record is from RefSeq and is a predicted model, not a curated record.
GAUUUAUUAUUAUUUAAAUUAAAAGCUUUCUUUUGAAUUUUGUAUCUUUUGUUUUGUUCUAUUCAACUGCGGUCUUUUUUGUUUCCUUGUAUUGCGUGCCGACGACGUGCCAUUGCGCUUCCCGUGGUGAUUUAUGCGAAUACAAAGUGGACGCGGUGUAAUCAGCACAGCUGCGGCGGGUGUUUCGUCUUCAGUGGUGCGUGCGUUGCUUUAGUGCUACCAGAAAUAAAAUGAAAUUGUAAAAUUCUUCCUCUAAGAAAUUCGCAGGAAAAAUUUGCAUAAAAGAAAUUUUUUAUUGCCUGAUAUUGAAUUGGAAAUGGAAAUGUGGAAGAGCGUGUAGAGCGCGGAGCAAAGUGUAGAGUAACGAGCAAAAAUAAACUUUCAUAAAGUGUCGGAAAGCAUAGCAUAGCAUUCUUCGCUUAGCUAGUUGUCUGUUGGCUGCUAACUACAUGCGGCGUGAUUUUGUGGGAGAAAAUAGAAAACGUGCAAAGUUGCUUGCGGAAAAGCGGUUCAAAACAAAACGCCGCUAAAUUAAUGUAUUUUCAACCAUCAAACUGAUACCCGAAAAAAUCAAAUUAUUUUUAUAAACAAAAUUAUUUUUAUAAAAAAAUAAAAACGACGUAGAAGUUCAAAAAAAUAAGAAAAAAAUAUUUUCCACAGAAAAUUUUCCAGAGAUCAAAAAGCAAUGCAAACUGAAAAUUGCUAAGAUCAAGAGACUAAUGAAAAUCGUGAUCAUACAAAAAUUGAAGAAAAAAAGCACAAAGUGGUAAAAUAAUACAUAAUUACAUAUGUAUAUGCAACACAUCAAAUGCUGUGCAAAACUAGUUACACGCUAAUAAAGAGAGGAGAAACCUGUCAUAAGAAGACAAAAAAUACGACAAAGCACGACAUCAGCGACUCAUUAACAUACCGGAUUUUGCCAAAAAAAGAGAGGAGAAAUAUGAUUAAAAAGUAAAAAAAGUGAUAGAAGAUUUAAAGUAAUAAAAAUCAGAAAACACAAAAAUAGUAAGAAACCAGUUAAUAAGUUUCACUUUCUUUUGACGCUGCGCUGACGAGUAUCGAUUUAAUUUCUUGUGUUUUUUUUGAACAACUAAAAGUGAUUUCAUUUUCGAAAUGCCAAGGUGAAACGCAGAGCCAUUAACGAUCAUUCCUAACUUCCAACAUUACUUCCUGUGAACAAGUCUGACCUACAGCGUUCAAAUAAGAUAGAGCAAGAAGUGCUUGUAUUCUUCAAAUUUGUAGCUGUGCGCAAAUAUUUCCCAAAACAAUUAG